RNAcentral lists this long non-coding RNA (7676 nucleotides) under Brassica napus (rape). RNAcentral's name for it is "long non-coding RNA (BNAP_LNC005454)". The record is from RNAcentral. Lineage: Eukaryota; Viridiplantae; Streptophyta; Magnoliopsida; Brassicales; Brassicaceae.
AGAGAGAAACCGAGAAAAAAGAGUGUUUUCGGGUAGUUUUUAGUUAGCGUUUUUGGGGAGAUAGCUAGGGGUGCUGGAUAGUCUUUGUAGCCAGUAGCCAAGGUGGGUUUCCUGUGUGUUUCUUGUGUGUGUGUUUUGUAUGCAGGUUCGAGCUUGACCAACGAGUCUUAAACGGAGACUCGGGGCAUAGUUAAUCGAUUUUCUGCAGGGCCCCAGGGAAAGUGUGUGCUGCUUGCAUACAUGUUGUGUGAUUGAUUGUUUGUUUGUUUAGUUGUCACUCGCUUAGUUAUUAGUUUUAGUCUAGACUUAGGUGCAUCGAGGUUUGAGGUUGAGCUCCCUCAUGCUAAGUAGUGUUUGUGUGUGUGUUUGUCUAGACUAGGGCGAGUGAUUGUUAUGCUUUGAGUCUAGAUGUGCGUGGAGGUUAGAGGUGGAGGUCCCUCACGCUUUUUUCUUGUUUGUGUGGCAUCUAGACUAAAGCAUGGGCCAUCUCGGGUUAGAUUAGGGAAAGCCUAAUUCUCCGAAGGUGUUCGAGACCAUGGAGUUAGAUUGGGCGAUACCCAAUUCUCUAGUGGUGGAGUGACCUACUCUCCAUGGCUUGUCACGUGAAGUGGGUCGCGCCCAUGGACAAGCGCUGCAUGACGAUGCGGCCCGGGUUAGAUUGGGAGAAGCCUAAUUUCCGGAGAUGAUGUUUUCCGACCAUGUGACUGUUGUGUUUGUGAUCGGGAGUGUUCAGUAUGGAGAUGUGUUAGGGCUCUGAUGUGUUGGGAUCCCAGGAUGUGUGUCAUCCGAAUUUUUGUUUGUGUAGAUCGAGUCUAGGAUCGAGUCUAGCUUUCUUUUUGUGUAGUUAGGCCUCGGUGGUGAGACCAUUUGUUUGUUUAGUAAUUGCUUGUUUGCUUGCUUGCUUGCUUGUUUGUUUGUUGCUUCUGCUGUGUUGAUUACUAACCAAUUGUUGAUUGUGUUUGGGGCAUGGGCUGAAGGGGGUCGUUGUUGUUUAUUUUUGGGAACUCACUGAGUAAUUCCGAUUACUCAUCCCCUCUUCUACUAUGCAGGUAACCCGUAGGUAGGAAGCUUAGGGCGCAGCGGAAUGGGAAGCGACCGGUGUAGAUUGGAAGUGGCAUAAGCAUAAGCGGACUAUCUUUUGGAAUUUAUAAUUACUUUCUUUUCAUUUUGGCACUAGGCCGUGAGCUCAAACUCUGAUAUUUUGUAUUGUAAUGUUUUGUAAAACGCUUUCUACCUAUUAUUAAUAAAAUGUAUGUUUAUAUUCGUAGUUGUGUGUUAAAUGAUACUAGACCUUGUCCGGGUCGACACAACUCGAUGAUUGUGGUACGGGUUGUGAAGCCUUAGGCCAUGACAUCGAGGUCAUAGCAAACUGGAACGGAUUGGUCGAGAGUCUUGACUUGUUCUUGAUUCUUGGUCGAACCGGUACUGUGAGCUAUACUUGUGGCGCUCCCGGGACGUACCGGGUUAGUCCGGCCUGGUACGGUCCGGGGGUGUUACAAAAAUGGUGGUAUCAGAGCGUGUUUCCGAUCAUGCUCAUAAACCGCAACAUUUUUCAAAUGUUUUUAUCGAGUCAAAAUGAGUCGCUUAUGCCACAUUAGGAAACCGGUCCGUUCCGCUUAGAGUUUUUAGGGAGUAGCUUUAGGAUUAGUUCCUUAGGAAUUUUUCUUUCUUUAGGAUCAACCCUUGAAACCGUGCAGAUGUCUAAUCAAGGAUCAGGAGCAAGCGGGUCGUUCGGAACGUCGGGUCAGGAUGGGUCGAGGUACGCAAACUACCACAACUUCUGGGAUGCUCCGAAUUCAGCAAACCAGACUGGCGACAGUGGACCAAGGUCUAUGCCAGGCGUUGAACGUGCUCACAGUGAGGAGAACGUAUCUCCUGUAGCGUGGCAAAUAUCAGUAUCACCACCCAAUUCUCAGCAUGCGGAAUCAGAACCAUUCGUUGGACCACAGAGACCCCAUUCAUCUCAUGCAGACUCGGAAGGAUCUACAUCAAUUAGAAUCAACUCAAGACCAGCAGAGCCGGCUACACCUACGCCAGCACCUGCACCAGCUCCAGCAGAAGGAAGUAGACCAGCAGAUCCAACCUUAUCUAUGGUACAUAACCUUUUGUCUAAAGUCUUAACCAACAAAGUUACCCCAAGUCCAGAAGCAAAUCAACCCGAAACUCGACAACCAGACUUCCUGAAGUAUGUUCUUACGAUGAAGAACAUGGGUACCUAUAAGUUCGAAGGAGAAGCCGACACCCUCAAAGCAGAUACAUGGCUACGACGUGUAGAGAAGAACUUCUCAACCACCAGGUGUCCAGACGAGUACAAGAAAGACGUAGCUGUGCAUUACUUGGAGAAAGACGCAAUGUCUUGAUGGGAGAGUAGGGAGAGUAUCACCCGAAGACAAGGAGUAGAAGACAUGGAUUGGGAUGCAUUCAAGCAGGAAUUUCAGAGGAAGUAUUUUCCUCCAGAAGCAAGAGACAGAAUGGAGCAAGCUUUUCUACGAUUGGAGCAAGGUGAAAGGAGUGUUAGGGAGUACGAAUCAGAAUUUCUCAAGCUCAGUCGAUACAUCCACUACAAGGACGGAGAUGAAGCGGUGUUAAUUCGUAAGUUCUUACGAGGUCUUAAGCCAGAGAUCGGGAGUCGUCUACAAGCCGUCAACUUUGUGAGUUUGUUUGAGUUAAUAGAGAAAGCAGUCAACGUGGAGGAGAUGGUAGCAGCUGAACGUGAACCAACCGUUGGAUCAAACCCCAAACCUCAGAGCAGUCAGUCCAAGGAUGAUAAGUUGCGAACCAACCAGAAGAAAGGAAGAAAGGGUCAGUUCAAACGACAUGGAAAGAAGCAGAAGGCACAAGUGACGUGCUACAAUUGUGGUCAGUUGGGACAUUACUCUCGUGAAUGCACCAACUCAAUGGCUGAGAAGACGGAUUGGAAGGCAUCGGUUACUUGCUACAGCUGUGGAGAGAGAGGUCAUUUCGCCAACGAGUGUACUGUGAACCGUCCAGGACAGGGAAGAGGAUCGUCUGCGCGUACCCAACCAAACCGACCGACCAGAGAACACCCAGCCGGGCGUCCUGCAUCCGAAGGGAGAGUCUAUGCCUUGGAGAUGGAGGAAACUCCAUCUAGUGCUCCGGGACCGUCGAGAGGUCCUGUGACAGGUUUGUUUGGGUGCUAACUCUCUUUUGCGUGUUUAUUUCUGUGUAGAGUAGUUAGUAGUUUGUAGUUUGUUGUGUUAGCAUUCUGGAUGAAUGCUAGUGUGUUGAUCUUUGUUAGGAUCAUUGUUGGUUGGUGGAACCCCUGCUGUUGUUUUGUUUGAUUCGGGAGCCACCCAUAGUUUUGUGAACCCAGUAGUAGCCUCUAGAUUUGUAGGAACCCUUGUGACCCGUGAUAUUGAUAUCUCAGUGUUAACCCCUGGAGGCCAAACCUUGAAAGCCAAAAAGGUGUUGUUGGAUGUGCCUAUUGUGCUUUUGCACGCAACCCUUUUAGCCAACCUAGUGGUCAUGCCCUUAGAAGGUUUCGAGGUUAUUUUAGGAAUGGAUUGGCUGUCAAGGCAUCGGGCGUGGCUGGACUGUGCAAGAGGAAGAGUUUUCUUUGAAGACGACCAUCGAGGAGUAUUGGCGUAUUAUGGGAUCAAGCCUAGCAUCUCAGCAACGUUCGUCACAGCAAUGAGAGCAGAGAGAGCCUUAGUGGACGGCGAGGUCUACUUGGUAUCGCUUACGUACAUCGGAGAGGAGACAGGAAAGGAAUUGAGAAUGGAAGACAUUCCAGUGGUCCAAGAGUUUGAAGACGUGUUUCGGGCGUUAACGGAGUUACCACCACCUCGGAGUAACCCGUUCACCAUCAACUUGGAACUGAGCGCUGCACCUAUCGCCAAGGCACCUUACCGCAUGGCACCAGCAGAGUUAGCAGAGCUCAAGAAGCAGUUGGAGGAUUUACUAGACAAAGGUUUCAUCAGACCGAGUUCUUCACCUUGGGGAGCUCCGGUUUUGUUUGUGAAGAAGAAGGAUGGCAGCAUGAGAUUGUGCAUCGACUACAGAGGAAUCAACAAUGUCACGAUCAAGGAUAAGUACCCUUUACCUAGGAUCGAUGAAUUGUUGGAUCAACUAAGAGGAGCGAGUUGGUUCUCGAAGAUAGAUUUGGCUUCGGGAUAUCACCAAAUUCCGAUAGCAGAGAACGACGUAAUGAAGACAGCAUUCAACACUCGGUACGGCCAGUUCGAGUUCGUUGUAAUGCCAUUCGGGUUAACCAACGCACCAGCAGUAUUCAUGAGGAUGAUGAAUGAAGUAUUUCACGACUACCUCGACAAGUUCGUGAUUGUGUUCAUCGACGACAUACUCAUCUACUCACGGAGCGAGGAGGAGCACAAGGAGCAUCUGAGGAUGGUACUUGAGAGACUAAGAGACCGGAAGUUGUUUGCUAAGCUCAGCAAGUGUCGAUUCUGGAAGCGCGAGAUUUGUUUCUUAGGUCAUAGAGUUUCCAAGCAAGGAGUUUCGGUGGAUCCAGAGAAGAUUGAAGUCAUCCAGAAGUGGCCUUGUCCAACCUCAGUAACGGAGAUCAGAAGUUUCCUCGGAUUGGCAGGCUAUUACCGAAAAUUCGUGCAAGCUUUCUCAUCAAUUGCGAAACCUUUGACACGAUUGACGGGAAAGGAAGUCCCAUUUCUUUGGGAUGAGCAUACGGAGAGAGCUUUCAACAAGCUCAAGGAGGCAUUGACUACGGCACCAGUUCUUGCCUUACCCCAGCCGGGUAAGCCAUAUGUUGUGUAUACUGACGCAUCGCGGGUAGGAUUAGGGUGUGUGUAAAUGCAAGAAUACAGAGUCAUUGCAUACGCCUCAAGACAGUUGAAGAAGCACGAGGAGAACUACCCCACACACGAUCUGGAGAUGGCGGCCGUUGUUUUUGCAUUAAAGAUAUGGCGCUCGUAUCUUUAUGGAGAAAGCGUUCAGGUAUUUACGGAUCACAAAAGCCUUAAAUACUUGUUCACUCAGGCGGAUCUGAAUUUGCGACAAAGACGGUGGAUGGAAUUCAUUGCGGACUACGACGUUCAGAUUCAGUAUCACCCAGGAAAAGCAAACGUGGUAGCGGAUGCAUUGAGUCGACGAAGAGCUGUAGUAGACUCAGAGCGAGAUUUGGAGAAGUUAUCAGACGAAUUCAAGAAGGUAACUUUAGCUGCACUGGAAGGAGAAUCUAGUGAACCAUUGGGAAUGCAAGCCGUGAACCAAGCCAGUUUGAUACAACGUAUUCGAGGAGCGCAGCGGCAAGACGAGAACCUGAAGAUCAUCAUGGAGCAGCUACGAGAGCAAGGAGGGCCAAAUGCUAGUGGAUAUCAGAUGGCAGAAGACGGAACAUUGCUACUCAACGGAAGAAUCACUGUGCCAAAGGAGGGAGGAUUCAAGGAGGAAAUUCUCAAGUUAGCGCAUCAGUCACUUUUGAGUAUACAUCCUGGAAGCACCAAGAUGUAUAGAGAUAUGAGGAGAUAUUACCAUUGGCCAGGAAUGAAGAAGUCAGUAGCAAGAUGGGUAGCGCAGUGUCAAGUUUGCCAGCAAAUCAAAGCCGAACACCAAGUGCCAGGAGGGUUACUUCAAAGCUUACCUAUUCCCGAGUGGAAGUGGGAUUCAGUGUCCAUGGAUCUAAUCACAGGAUUACCAGUGGCCAGAGGAAGAUCAAACAAUGCAAUUUGGGUUAUCAUGGAUCGGCUGACAAAGGAGCACAUUUGUUAGCAAUCAGAGACACAGACAAGACGGAGACAAUGGCGGAACUUUACAUCAAUCAGAUUGUGAAGCUACACGGAGUACCAGCAAACAUUGUCUCAGAUCGAGAUCCAAGAUUUACAGCAGCAUUCUGGAGAGCAUUGCAAGGAGCGUUGGGUACGGAGUUGCACAUCAGUACUGCAUUUCACCCAGAAACGGACGGGCAGACGGAGAGGACCAUCCGGACAAUAGAGGAUAUGCUACGUUUGUGUAUUCUCGAUUGGUCAGGUACGUGGGAGAACUAUCUACCUUUGAUAGAAUUUUCCUACAACAAUAGUUUCCACGCCAGCAUUGCAAUGUCACCAUACGAGGCAUUGUACGGAAGACCCUGUCGAACACCUCUAUGUUGGACGGAAGUUGGAGAACGAAGAUUAUUCGGACCAGGAGUCAUUGAAGAAACGUUGGAGAAGCUGCAAGUCAUCCGAGCAAACAUGAAGAAGGCACAUGAUCGACUGAAGAAGUACGCGGAUCAAAGAAGGCGAGAAGUAGUAUUUGCAGUUGGAGAUAUGGUCUAUCUCAAGGUAUCAGCUCAGAAAGGAAAGGAUCGUUUCGGCAAAGUCGGGAAGUUAGCAGUUCGUUUCAUUGGUCCAUACCGGAUCAUUGGAAGAGUAGGAGAAGUAGCUUACAGGCUAGAGCUGCCAGAAGACAUGAAUUUACACCCUGUAUUUCAUGUAUCUAUGCUGAGAAGGCACAUUCGAGAUCCUGAUUCUAUCGAGCCUGAGAGAAUCCCAGAGCUUAGGACAAAUCUCACAUAUCCAGAAGGGCUGAUACGCAUCGGGGAACGACGUUUGAAGAAGCUGAAGAAUAGGGAGAUUCCUCAAAUCCAAGUCUUUUGGGGAAGACAAAACCGCUUGGUGAUAACAUGGGAAGAUGAAGACAGAUUUCGUCAGAACUAUCCAGAGUUCUUCGAAGAUGAAGCGGCGACGUCAUCAGCACCUUAGAAUUCGGGGACGAAUUCUAAUGAGUGGGGGAGAAUGUAAUGACCCUGCUCAUAAGUAGAAAAGUCAAAGACCUUGACCUUAGUCGUGGUCGAAACGAGGAACGGUCAUGGUCGAAAGACAGUUUUCUGCCAGUACGAGAAAAUCGAUAAAAACCGAGCAAGAGGAGAUCGACGUUUUGAAACCGAAGAAGGAGAAGCAUUGUCUAAGUAAAUCAAGAAAUGAGUUUUCUCAUUUGAAGAAGAGAUUUAGAAGUUGUUGACAUGGCGAAGAAAGUGAAGACGCGAUGACAUGGCGACCACCGAUUGGAUUCGGAGGAGUGACGGAGCGAUACGCGUGGCAAACUCUCAUUGGCUGGAAGAAGACUUGGCGACCAAGUUACGAAGCUUCUAGAAGACAAGACUUGGCGACCAAGCAACGGUAAAACUUGGGGAGAAAGGUAAAAACCUUCCGGAAGCAAGGUUACUUGCCACGGAAGUUUCGUAGUGGGACAUGUGUCCAUUUUUCCUCAUGCAUGUGUGCCAUUUGUCCAGCCCAGCCUCAGUCCUCCAUUUCUAUAAAUACCAGACCCCUCCCUUUCAUUUUUCUCAUUCAAAACCGUAAGAGCUUACCUUAGAGAGAGAGUGGUGAGUUAGAGAGAGAAACCGAGAAAAAAGAGUGUUUUCGGGUAGUUUUUAGUUAGCGUUUUUGGGGAGAUAGCUAGGGGUGCUGGAUAGUCUUUGUAGCCAGUAGCCAAGGUGGGUUUCCUGUGUGUUUCUUGUGUGUGUGUUUUGUAUGCAGGUUCGAGCUUGACCAACGGGUCUUAAACGGAGACUCGGGGCAUAGUUAAUCGAUUUUCUGCAGGGCCCCGGGGAAAGUGUGUGCGCCUGCAUACAUGUUGUGUGAUUGAUUGUUUGUUUGUUUAGUUGUCACUCGCUUAGUUAUUAGUUUUAGUCUAGACUUAGGUGCAUCGAGGUUUGAGGUUGAGCUCCCUCAUGCUAAGUAGUGUUUGUGUGUGUGUUUGUC